Long non-coding RNA from Dreissena polymorpha, 1721 nucleotides. RefSeq lists it as uncharacterized. The record is from RefSeq and is a predicted model, not a curated record. NCBI's taxonomy places the organism in Eukaryota, Metazoa, Mollusca, Bivalvia, Myida, Dreissenidae. The transcript is spliced from 2 exons.
GUACUGGUGUAAACCUUCCAUAGUCAUGGAGCUGAAAUAAAUAAAUACAUUUUUACAAGCAAAGUAAAUGCAGUUUGAAGUAAAGAUUAUAGGUCUUUCUGUAUUUUACUAAGGCAUCACCAAACUGAUAACUUCUUCAGUUUUUUUCUUUAAAAAUGGGAAGAGCAUGAAAAACAACUAUCUAUUUAUACUGCCAAGUGCCCUUUCGAGCAUGGUAGGCAGACAUGGACAUUAUCGAGUCGGUUUCCUGGGAAGAACCAGUACUUGGUGUCCAUGGAGGAGAUAAUUAGAAUGCUUCCCAAGUAAGGAGUGAACCCACUAACACCCGAUCGCUAGGCGGAUAUCUCAUCCACUACAACACCGCGACCUUGAACUACAAAUAUUUUUUUAUGUCCCCCACUAUAGAAGUGGGGGACAUAUUGUUUUUGCCCUGUCUGUUGGUUGGUCUGUUGGUUGGUUGGUUUGCGCCAACUUAAACAUUUUGCAAUAACUUUUGCUAUAUUGAAUAUAGCAACUUGAUAUUUGGCAUGCAUGAGUAUCUCAUGGAGCUGCACAUUUUGAGUGGUGAAAGGUCAGAGGUCAAAUAUAUGUGGCCUAAAUUGCUCAUUUUAUGAAUACUUUUGCAAUAUUGAAGAUAGCAACUCGAUAUUUGGCAUGCAUGUGUAUCUCAUGGAGCUGCACAUUUUGAGUGGUGAAAGGUCAAAGUCAAGGUCAUCCUUCAAGGUCAGAGGUAAAACAUAUUUGUCCCAAAUCGCUUAUUUUAUUAAUACUUUUGAAAUAUUGAAGAUAGUAACUUGAUAUUUGGCAUGCAUGUGUAUCUCAUGGAGCUGCACAAUUUGAGUGGUGAAAGGUCAAGGUCAUCCUUCAAGGUCAAGGUCAUCCUUAAAGGUCAAAUAUAUGGGUCAAAAUUGCUCAUGUAAUGUCACUUCUGCAAUAUUGAAGCUAGCAAUUUUAUAUUUGAAAUGCAUGUGUAUCUCAUGGAGCUGCACAUUUUGAGUGGUGAAGGGUCAAGGUCAUCCUUCAAGGUCAAACAUUAUUUAGGGGGACAUUGUGUUUCACAAACGCAUCUUGUUUCAAAUUAUCUUUAUUCAACAACAUUUUGUAUAACGAUAAAACAACUCACUCUUAGAGAUACGUCUAGUAGUGAUGCACUGCUUUCAACCAACAAACCAUCUGCCUCGUUCUCGAAACUCAAGUCUGGUGAACGGUUAUCUGACAUUUCCUCAGUUUCUGGUGUGGAAUUCGUCUCAUCUGCUUCAGGGCCAUUUUCCAGGGUCUGUAAGGUAAACAAAUAAAAUUAAAUCAGCACAUCAAAGACCUAGAAAUACACAUACUUUUUCAAACUAACAUGAAAGAAUGAUGUUCAGAUACGUAAUAUUUAUGCUUCUGUAUCAUGUUGUAAACACCGUCAGAUUCUAUACCGAUAGAGUAACUGACCCAUGUUCAUUCUUGAAACCUCGUAUAGCCUAGUGGCAACAUAUCCGCUUCAAAAUAUCAGAUACCAUUGGUUCGAUCCUCGGCUGUGAGCUACAUAAAAUAAAUCAUGAACUGUGCCAUGGGUAUGUCUGCCAUUAUCCCAUGCUUGAUUGUACCACAAGGAAUCACUGAUUUGAAUAGUAAGCUCGAUUUAAUAAUCCAUCGGAAUCGUUUUAAGGUGAUAAUCUGAUUACACGCAGUGCGCAAUCUGAUUAUGUGAUGACUUAAAUUAGUAUAAGUAUUAA